AACGCGAAGAACCUUACCUACCCUUGACAUCCUGCGAAUCUGGCUGAGAAGCUGGAGUGCCGCAAGGAACGCAGAGACAGGUGCUGCAUGGCUGUCGUCAGCUCGUGUUGUGAGAUGUUGGGUUAAGUCCCGUAACGAGCGCAACCCUUGUCCUUAGUUACCAUCAAGUAAAGUUGGGGACUCUAAGGAGACCGCCGGUGAAGAACCGGAGGAAGGCGGGGACGACGUCAAGUCAUCAUGGCCUUUAUGGGUAGGGCUACACACGUGCUACAAUGGUGCGUACAGAGGGAAGCGAAACUGCGAAGUGGAGCCAAUCUCAGAAAGCGCAUCGUAGUCCGGAUUGGAGUCUGCAACUCGACUCCAUGAAGUUGGAAUCGCUAGUAAUCGCGAAUCAGCAUGUCGCGGUGAAUACGUUCCCGGGCCUUGUACACACCGGAGUA
RNAcentral lists this ribosomal RNA (440 nucleotides) under uncultured bacterium. RNAcentral's name for it is "bacterial SSU rRNA". It matches the Rfam family "Bacterial small subunit ribosomal RNA", at positions 958 to 1398 of the family's 1533-position model. The record is from RNAcentral.